This 1121-nucleotide ribosomal RNA is filed under the name Escherichia coli. RNAcentral's name for it is "bacterial SSU rRNA". It matches the Rfam family "Bacterial small subunit ribosomal RNA", at positions 60 to 1172 of the family's 1533-position model. Lineage: Bacteria; Pseudomonadati; Pseudomonadota; Gammaproteobacteria; Enterobacterales; Enterobacteriaceae. The record is from RNAcentral.
AGUCGAACGGUAACAGGAAGMAGCUUGCUKCUUUGCUGACGAGUGGCGGACGGGUGAGUAAUGUCUGGGAAACUGCCUGAUGGAGGGGGAUAACUACUGGAAACGGUAGCUAAUACCGCAUAACGUCGCAAGACCAAAGAGGGGGACCUUCGGGCCUCUUGCCAUCGGAUGUGCCCAGAUGGGAUUAGCUAGUAGGUGGGGUAACGGCUCACCUAGGCGACGAUCCCUAGCUGGUCUGAGAGGAUGACCAGCCACACUGGAACUGAGACACGGUCCAGACUCCUACGGGAGGCAGCAGUGGGGAAUAUUGCACAAUGGGCGCAAGCCUGAUGCAGCCAUGCCGCGUGUAUGAAGAAGGCCUUCGGGUUGUAAAGUACUUUCAGCGGGGAGGAAGGGAGUAAAGUUAAUACCUUUGCUCAUUGACGUUACCCGCAGAAGAAGCACCGGCUAACUCCGUGCCAGCAGCCGCGGUAAUACGGAGGGUGCAAGCGUUAAUCGGAAUUACUGGGCGUAAAGCGCACGCAGGCGGUUUGUUAAGUCAGAUGUGAAAUCCCCGGGCUCAACCUGGGAACUGCAUCUGAUACUGGCAAGCUUGAGUCUCGUAGAGGGGGGUAGAAUUCCAGGUGUAGCGGUGAAAUGCGUAGAGAUCUGGAGGAAUACCGGUGGCGAAGGCGGCCCCCUGGACGAAGACUGACGCUCAGGUGCGAAAGCGUGGGGAGCAAACAGGAUUAGAUACCCUGGUAGUCCACGCCGUAAACGAUGUCGACUUGGAGGUUGUGCCCUUGAGGCGUGGCUUCCGGAGCUAACGCGUUAAGUCGACCGCCUGGGGAGUACGGCCGCAAGGUUAAAACUCAAAUGAAUUGACGGGGGCCCGCACAAGCGGUGGAGCAUGUGGUUUAAUUCGAUGCAACGCGAAGAACCUUACCUGGUCUUGACAUCCACGGAAGUUUUCAGAGAUGAGAAUGUGCCUUCGGGAACCGUGAGACAGGUGCUGCAUGGCUGUCGUCAGCUCGUGUUGUGAAAUGUUGGGUUAAGUCCCGCAACGAGCGCAACCCUUAUCCUUUGUUGCCAGCGGUCCGGCCGGGAACUCAAAGGGACUGCCAGUGAUAACCUGGAGGAAG